UACGUGGGGUGCAAGCGUUGUCCGGAAUUAUUGGGCGUAAAGAGCUCGUAGGCGGUCUGUCGCGUCGGCUGUGAAAACCCGGAGCUCAACUCCGGGCCUGCAGUCGAUACGGGCAGACUGGAGUUCGGCAGGGGAGACUGGAAUUCCUGGUGUAGCGGUGAAAUGCGCAGAUAUCAGGAGGAACACCGGUGGCGAAGGCGGGUCUCUGGGCCGAUAUUGACGCUGAGGAGCGAAAGCGUGGGGAGCGAACAGG
This 253-nucleotide ribosomal RNA is filed under the name uncultured bacterium. Its description in RNAcentral is "partial 16S ribosomal RNA". It matches the Rfam family "Bacterial small subunit ribosomal RNA", at positions 524 to 776 of the family's 1533-position model. The record is from RNAcentral.